This 492-nucleotide ribosomal RNA is filed under the name uncultured bacterium. RNAcentral describes it as "partial 16S ribosomal RNA". It matches the Rfam family "Bacterial small subunit ribosomal RNA", at positions 29 to 507 of the family's 1533-position model. The record is from RNAcentral.
AGUGAACGCUGGCGGUAGGCCUAACACAUGCAAGUCGAACGGCAGCACAGUAAGAGCUUGCUCUUACGGGUGGCGAGUGGCGGACGGGUGAGGAAUACAUCGGAAUCUACUUUUUCGUGGGGGGUAACGUAGGGAAACUUACGCUAAUACCGCAUACGACCUACGGGUGAAAGCAGGGGAUCUUCGGACCUUGCGCGAUUGAAUGAGCCGAUGUCGGAUUAGCUAGUUGGCGGGGUAAAGGCCCACCAAGGCGACGAUCCGUAGCUGGUCUGAGAGGAUGAUCAGCCACACUGGAACUGAGACACGGUCCAGACUCCUGCGGGAGGCAGCAGUGGGGAAUAUUGGACAAUGGGCGCAAGCCUGAUCCAGCCAUACCGCGUGGGUGAAGAAGGCCUUCGGGUUGUAAAGCCCUUUUGUUGGGAAAGAAAAGCAGCAGGUUAAUACCCCGCUGUUCUGACGGUACCCAAAGAAUAAGCACCGGCUAACUUCGUG